UAGGCGAGCCGAGCGGCCCGCCCGGGCGGGAGCAUGCGCCGUCGGGGCUCCGUUGGGUCCCUCCCUGGAGCUCGCGGUGGUCGGAGAGCUGUGACCUCACCCAGGCUUUGGGAGGAGUCUGAGGGGCAGGCAGCUUCCGGGGCGGGGCUUCGCGUGGGCUCCAGGGAGGGCCGACGCCGACAGCCAGACUGGGACGCUGUCUGUCCAAGUUAAGUGUCUGAACACGGCGGCCAGCUGAGAGACGUAGGCUACUGGUGGCUACUCAACGUUGAGUGACUUCAGGGAGAGGAACAAUUGUCUCCUCAUCCCAACUAGAGCUCCAACCACGGACAAAAGAAAGGAUUCCAUCUUGUCUAGCCUGCGCAUCCCUUGCCCCUUGCCCGUCCCGAGGCAGCUCGACCGAGGGCUUCUUCCCUUUGUUUACCGAUUGUAUAAACUGGCAAGGGGAAUCUUGGUGAAUCUUCUAACUUCCCCAUACCUCAAUGCUUCUUUUCUUUUUAAACUAAUUUUAUUGCAUUCACUUGAGUGAGCAUUGGCUGGAGUCAGAGGACCACCUUUGCCAGUCGCCUCCUAAUAUCUGGAUCCUGGGGAUAGAAAUCUGAUUGUGGGAUUUGGUGGCCCUUACCCAGUGAACCAACCAUCUUAUUGGGCCCUCAAUAACCUUUCUUGAAUUUCCUGAAGAGAUCCAGGUUCAGUUCCUGACACCCACCAUGUGGCCCCCAACCACUCCAACUCAGUGGAACCAACACCCUACUUUGUCUACUUCAGGCACAUACACAUACACGCAGGGAAAAAACACAAAUGUAUUUUUAAAAUAAAACUUUUAUGGUGGUGCACACCUUUAAUCCUAG
This is a long non-coding RNA of Mastomys coucha (southern multimammate mouse), 851 nucleotides long. RefSeq lists it as uncharacterized. The record is from RefSeq and is a predicted model, not a curated record. NCBI's taxonomy places the organism in Eukaryota, Metazoa, Chordata, Mammalia, Rodentia, Muridae. The transcript has 2 exons.